GUGCCCUUGCCAUUGCUCCAUCUGCAAGACUCACCCUUCUAUAGAAGUAAAUUUGCCUUGCUGGAGUGUUAACUUGUUGUUGGAGUGCUAACUCUUCUUUGUGGCACCAAAAAGUUAUUUCCAACACGAAGCUGCACCCUUGGUGGAGGGAACAUCUGACGAAGUUCAAUGUUUGGGGAAAACAAUAUCUGGAAAGAUUGAAGAGUCAGCAGGAGAAACACCUAGGAAAAUUACAAGGCCUGUGAAAGAAACAUCUGAGAAAUUUGCAUGGCCACAAGAAAGACCUACAAAGACCACAUGGGAGGAAAAAGAAACAUCUGUAAAGACUGAAUGCGUGGCAGGAGUAACAUCUAAUAAAACUGAAGUUUUGGAAGAAGGAACAUCUAAGAUGAUCACAUGUCCUACAAAAAAACAGCUACAAAAGCAAGUACACAUGAUGGAAUCUCACUCUGUUGCCCAGGCUGGAGUGC
RNAcentral lists this long non-coding RNA (470 nucleotides) under Homo sapiens (human). RNAcentral describes it as "HSALNT0352433". Lineage: Eukaryota; Metazoa; Chordata; Mammalia; Primates; Hominidae. The record is from RNAcentral.